RNAcentral lists this ribosomal RNA (303 nucleotides) under uncultured bacterium. Its description in RNAcentral is "partial 16S ribosomal RNA". It matches the Rfam family "Bacterial small subunit ribosomal RNA", at positions 507 to 807 of the family's 1533-position model. The record is from RNAcentral.
AGCAGUAGCCGCGGGAAUACGAAGGGGGCUAGCGUUGCUCGGAAUCACUGGGCGUAAAGGGUGCGUAGGCGGGUCUUUAAGUCAGGGGUGAAAUCCUGGAGCUCAACUCCAGAACUGCCUUUGAUACUGAAGAUCUUGAGUAUGGGAGAGGUGAGUGGAACUGCGAGUGUAGAGGUGAAAUUCGUAGAUAUUCGCAAGAACACCAGUGGCGAAGGCGGCUCACUGGCCCAUAACUGACGCUGAGGCACGAAAGCGUGGAGAGCAAACAGGAUUAGAUACCCCCGUAGUCCCUGUCUCUUAUAC